Molecule: non-coding RNA, 2811 nt
Organism: Bactrocera oleae (olive fruit fly)
Lineage: Eukaryota; Metazoa; Arthropoda; Insecta; Diptera; Tephritidae
Source: RefSeq, a predicted model, not a curated record
GGUGCAAACAGGCAUUUUAUAUCAAAGCAUAAAAUAACUAAUUUUAAAUCACCAGCAGAGAUUUUAAUUACUACAUAACGUUUCUUUCGUGAUCUUUCAAGACAUACAAAACUUACGGAGGAACUAAUUGCAGAUCAAAUCGAAAUAUAUAACAAAAAAUUAUUCCUUAUGCCAUUGAGAACAAUAAACAAAGCAAACGGUAUAAGGUGUGAUUGGGUUGAAAGCAGAGCUCAAAAGCAUUUACAAUAGAAGUGGGAAUAUACAAUAAGAAAUUCUAUAGCGAUAACAGUAUGAAUGACGUACACUAGCAAUUACAACAACUACGACAUAGCGGUGAUAUCAUUCUUCGAAUUUUCGAAAAUUCGAAAAACAAUUGGAUUCAACACUCACACAGCGCGGUAUAGCAAUCAGAUUGCGUGCAAAACGAAGGCAAACCAUGAUGAAUGAUGCAAAGAAAAUAAAACAGGGAGUGGACGUGUUUGGCUGUAUGUGUUUAUGUACAAGAGAGAAAAAUGCAAUUGUAUGUGAAUAUUUGAAAGAAUCCUCUCCGUGGUUAAAGAUCAUUGUCAAAAAUAAAGUAAAAAUAUUUAACUAAUGAAUUUUUACCACUAUCCUGCUUCAUUUCUCCUUUUCUACUAAUUUAAAUAGUCGUUAAUGAACGACAACUCUGCAUACGGUUAAUUCACGAAUUUAAUUAGUAUAAUUUUGUACUGUCACACAUUUGUGCAACAAUUUGCACUCUUCUUACCCAUCUUUCUUGUUGCUCCCUUAUCCGGCGCUCAAAUACACGUACUCGGUCUGCUACAAAUUCACUCGAUAUCUCGUUGUUGUUAUUUUAUUGCUGCCGCCCCGCUGUUGUGUGUUAUUCGAAAAGCACCACACCAAUAUUUCUAUCUAUAUACUCUUCUCACGUUUACGGAACAGCACUCAACACAGCACAAAUUGGACAAUUUCUUUAACCACUACCACACUACUCCGUAACCGAUACCACACACACACGCACCAACAUGUACGUACGAUUAUCGACUAACCAAUUGACCGAUUCCAACUAGAAUUUUAUCCUUAGCUUAUUUCCAAUUGCAACACCUUGUAUGCACCUUUCCGCCCUUUUUCACUUCGUUGAUUUUUCUACUAUUUUUCAAAUAUAAUUAUUACUGCCCAGACAGUUGCGAUUAACUCCUUCUCUUUACACUUCUAAUAUUUCAAUAAUUCUUUCUAAAGCACCACUGGACAAAAGUUUUGCAAAUACAAAUAUACCGAGAUCGAAAUGAAUUUACAAUUCUAUUGAUUUCUAACAUUCACAGAUAAUCUUCUACAGCCUGUUUAUUAGGUAUUUUUUAUACUAAUUUUACAGAGUUGUGUGCUACCGUUUACAAUCGACACCACUAAAUAGGACUUUUCUUAAUUUUGCGCACCAAAAAUUAACCACCACACACCCGCUUUUAUUAACUAUUGUCAGAGCAGAGUCUGCUUCAAUUUUCGAAUGAACACUAUACCAGAGAACUCUAUUUCGCUGUUGUCGAGCGAAAAAGGCAAUGUCAAAUAGUUGCGCCAAAUUCAUAUUCUAUUAAUAUGUGAAAUAAGGCCCUAACAGGGUGAUUCGCAUAAUAUAAACAAAUGUUUAGUUAAUGUAAAAUGGUCUAGUGAACACUAAAUAAAUAUUCGUAUGUAAUGAAAUAAAUACAAAAUAUAAAACGUAAGUCACGUGACGCAUCGCCGAAGUAAAAUUGUUAUAUUUUGUGCUUACAAAGCUUAAUAUUAGUAUAAUCAAGACAGUCACCCACAAAUAUCAUUAAUACAAUACUUAUACGAACGCGUUGUAUUUGUUUUUUGCUAACAGUGCCAAAACUAGUAAAACCGUUAACUUCGCUAUUUUUUAUAGCAUAAAAUGGUAUAUAAACAUCAUAAUAUUGAUUGUGAUGGGUCAGUUUGUAUGGCAGCUAAACGAUCUGAACAAUUUCUCCGGAUAUUGUAACUUUGUCUGGGACAAUGAUCCAUGCCAAAUUUCAUGAAGAUAUCUCGUCAGUUGUUUGUAUGUUAGCUAUAGCUCAAAAACUAAGGGAAUAGUUCGCGUAUGUACUGACAAACGAACAUGUAUAAAUUUACUCAGCUCAACAUGCUGAUCAUUAAUAUAUACAUAUAUUUUAUAGGGUCUCCGAUGUUUUAUUUUUGGUAUUACGAACUUCUUGGCAAACUUAAUGGCACAUCGGAAUAAAUGAUUGCCACAACGAUUACAAAUACCAUCAAACUCUGGGACUGAUGUAAAUUGUUGCACUUUUCUGAUAAGCAUGUUGUAUACUAACCUCGACCAAAAGUCAGCUUAAUUGCGCCUAUUAAAUGCGGGCAACUAGAUCUAAGGUAGUGUAGUUGUUGUAGCGACAGAAAAUUUCGAGGAAUGCUGCCAAGUUGACAGGCUAAAAACUAAGAUAGUUAAAUAGUAUAAAGCCAAUUGUUUUCUCUUUUAAUCCAUCUUAUAUAUAGUAUAUUUUGUGUGAAAUGGGCGUAAGUUUCUUUCAAUAACAUUACCAACAAAAAUAAUAAUAUGUAUGUAAUAUAAUAAUCCAUAUAUAAUUCCAAGAAAAAAAUUGUAAACAACUAUUUAUAUUUUCUCAUACAUCAUUGAUCGUAUUCAUACUUAUUAACUUUUUAAAUUAUUAUUGUAGAUGUAUGUUUUUAAAAUUUUUUUUAAUAUAAAUAUAUUUUUUUCCUUUUUGAUUGCGGACAAUUACUGAUAAAAUUAGCACGACAACUGUAGUCGGCCAGCAAAAAGAAACGCAUUUUAUGACAAUAAAAUAUUUUCUAGUUCAAGUA